GAUCUUCAGCUAUAAGACCCUCCAAAGUUGCUGAUGGUUUUGAGGCAUAACGCGAGUCUGCAGGAGGUUCAUGUACAGGAACUUGUUCAGUCACCACGUUGUGGGUAGCACUAGUAUACCGCUGCAGAAAAUUCAUUAUCCUGAUCAGAGAUCAGACCGGAUAUUGGCCUGAGAAAUGAGAGAGAUCCACUUCUCAGGGCGGAGAGAUGCGAGCAGCAGGAGCCAGCAGGUGCAGAGAAAUCUUUCGGGCUUAAAAGAGUCUCAGUUUCUUCACUCAAAAU
Molecule: unclassified non-coding RNA, 281 nt
Filed under: Hevea brasiliensis (rubber tree)
Lineage: Eukaryota; Viridiplantae; Streptophyta; Magnoliopsida; Malpighiales; Euphorbiaceae
Source: RNAcentral